Corticium candelabrum is the source of this 2303-nucleotide long non-coding RNA. RefSeq lists it as uncharacterized. The transcript is spliced from 5 exons. The record is from RefSeq and is a predicted model, not a curated record. NCBI's taxonomy places the organism in Eukaryota, Metazoa, Porifera, Homoscleromorpha, Homosclerophorida, Plakinidae.
CUGUUACAAAUACCCUAUGAUAAUUAUUUAGAUUUUUAAACAAUGUUUACUGCAAUCACUACCAAUAUUAAUCAAUGUUGACGACCAGAAGGUGACAAAAUGCGACCCUCGCUUCAGUUUCAGCCUUUGAACAUCCGGCUUGUGAUUGUCGUUGACUUCUUCGAUAAUUAUUUCGCCUUUUCAACGGCUUUUCAAGCAUAAAACACUGACUAACUGGCGCGGACAGAGCACAUUAUUCGAUUGUGAUCGACAAAGGCGUUGCUAGUCGUCCGCUCAAAUGCUACUGCUUUGCACCAAACUGUCAAGGUAAGGAGACAGUGUUUAUACAGCUCUAGUAGUGCGUUCUGUGGUGCGAUUCAAACUAUAGUCUCUCUCCUACUAGACAAGCAGGUUCUAGUCUUUUUGGACGUACAUGUCGAGCGCUUGCAAACGAGCUAAACAAAAAGCGCAGCUGCGUAUCUCCACAAUUGUGUUAAAUUUCGGACUUAGUUUGAGGUCGAUCUGCAUGCAUGGUCUGGUUUUUGGUCUCCAUGAUUAGACAUUUGACGUUGGGCGUAGCAAAAAUCUUGUUGUGUUUUGAUUUCCAGAGAUAGAAAAAGGAAAAGAUAUAUGGCCUAGAGUGUCAUCUAUAGUAUUCAGGGAUCAAGGCGAUUCUUACACGCCGAAUUCAUAGCUAUAGAACGGAAAGAGCAGUGGAGACAACUAUUGCAUGCGCUUGUACUAGCUACGCUAUGGUGGUUUAGAGGAGCGCCGCCUGUAAGCAAUCAGAGACAUCGAGCUAUACAUUAGAGCAAGGUCAAGCUAAAUUUGUUUAAAGUAAGUCACACAUCGACGUCUUAACUAUAAAACAGCAAAAAUCUAGAUUCUAGGUUGACAACCAUGCAAGUAAACAGAUGGAUUGAUAACCAAACGGCAUACUUGGCAGUCGCGAAAACAUCCUCCCCCAUAAAAGACAUCACCUCUGACAGCAUGCAGAUAAGUCUAAUGCACAUUCCAGCUCGCACACAAACCGCAACUUGUUUCUAAACAAAACGUUUUCAAAUAAAAGUUAAACCUUCGACUAGAGAUUCUAAUGCAUACUGCAAUGCACGAAGGGCUUGUGACUUUUGUGACGUGUAUAGCUCUAGAUCUGCACGUGCAGUUGCUAUUUGGCAUCUUUAUCUACAUCUAAUGUACUACACAAAACAGUACUAGUGGGGUGAUGGCGUUGUAUACAGUACUUCUUGGACUCUUAAGCCAGCGCGAAAGACUUAGAAGGUGCUAGGCUUGCAAACUAUUAUACGUCAAGGUCGCAAUCACUGCAAAACAUUAUUCAAAAUAGACUAGAUCUCUAGUAGAAGCAUGUGGGUCCGGUGCUUCUUUCGCAUGCAAAUGUUUGUCUCUUCCCUGCAAUCUAUGCGGUCUAAUUUGCAUCUGCACAGACGGUUAAUGCGUAGGGAGAUCAGUGCGAAGUGUGGACUCUUUUACGGUACCGUUAGAAAGGAUUUUUGAAGUGAGAGACUACACGAGCAAAAAACGAAAGUGACAAACAACAGCCAGCAUUGACUAACGUAACACGUAAUGUAGGAGGUAAUGAGCGAGCAUUAUUUACUAAAAUUAAUUGAUUCGUACUGUCAUAUCUUAUAACUCACUCUUGUUAGCGGCUAAAUGUCGCUCGUUCUUGCAAAGGCUUUAUUACAUGAACAAGGCAAGAAGAAACUAUCACAUGCCUCACUUCAAACUCUUGGGAUAUGUUCUACUGCAGUUCUAUACUCUAUUUUACUAAUGAGUACUUGUCUACAAGGUGCCCAAGUUUUAGCCACAGCAUUGUUGUUCAUUUUGGAUUUGUCUUGUCAAGCAUGAAUCUAUGGCAGACUCUUUGCAAAUGAAGGGAGCAAGAAGGCUUUGUGAAGUACAGGAGUCAAAUGGAGCGAGCAGCGAGAUUGACCACGGUUUCAGCUACAAGAAACCAUUGAGGGAGAUAGGUACAGAAGAUUAUAAAAGUGCAGAAUGACUGAGAAAUCGUUCAAUUACUAUCUUCACAAGUAUGCCUUGGACAUAAAAAAUGUUCUAGAAUGAUUGAGUUUGCUGGCACAGAUGGGUAUGGACUUUGCGUCUGCGGUUGAGCAGUUUGUCACUUCAAUGCCUGAUAACAACAGGACUGAGAAAACUGAGAAAGAUAUAAUGGCUAAGAAUGAUUUUAGUUAUCCUUAUUCUUUACUCAAAACCCAAUGUAAAACAGUGCUUGGUGUCCGCCAAGGAGUAACGUCUCUAGCAGCAGUUUGUUUUACACUUGACUUGCAUUAGCAAAUAUACAGUAAAAA